CCCUUAGAUGUUCGGGGCCGCACGCGCGCUACACUGAAGGAAUCAGCACGUCUUUCUCCUUGUCCGAAAGGACUGGGUAACCCGCUGAACCUCCUUCGUGCUAGGGAUUGGGGCUUGUAAUUCUUCCCCAUGAACGAGGAAUUCCCAGUAGGCGCGAGUCAUAAGCUCGCGUUGAUUACGUCCCUGCCCUUUGUACACACCGCCCGUCGCUACUACCGAUUGGAUGGUUUAGUGAGAUCCUCGGAUUGGUCCCGGCGCGGCCUCUGGUCGUGCCGGAGUGCCGAAAAGAAUGUCGAACUUGAUCAUCUAGAGGAAGUAAAAGUCGUAACA
This 330-nucleotide ribosomal RNA is filed under the name uncultured eukaryote. RNAcentral's name for it is "partial 18S ribosomal RNA". It matches the Rfam family "Eukaryotic small subunit ribosomal RNA", at positions 1470 to 1796 of the family's 1831-position model. The record is from RNAcentral.